GAGGGGUUAGUUAAACAAUAACACUGCCUUGUCAAGACAGAAUUACUAGUUAAACUCUUGUACCCCUCU
This 69-nucleotide transfer RNA is filed under the name Rana dybowskii. RNAcentral describes it as "tRNA-Asp". It matches the Rfam family "tRNA". Rfam says of the family: Transfer RNA (tRNA) molecules are approximately 80 nucleotides in length. Their secondary structure includes four short double-helical elements and three loops (D, anti-codon, and T loops). Further hydrogen bonds mediate the characteristic L-shaped molecular structure. tRNAs have two regions of fundamental functional importance: the anti-codon, which is responsible for specific mRNA codon recognition, and the 3' end, to which the tRNAs corresponding amino acid is attached (by aminoacyl-tRNA synthetases). tRNAs cope with the degeneracy of the genetic code in two manners: having more than one tRNA (with a specific anti-codon) for a particular amino acid; and 'wobble' base-pairing, i.e. permitting non-standard base-pairing at the 3rd anti-codon position. Lineage: Eukaryota; Metazoa; Chordata; Amphibia; Anura; Ranidae. The record is from RNAcentral.